Molecule: Y RNA, 95 nt
Filed under: Tupaia belangeri (northern tree shrew)
Lineage: Eukaryota; Metazoa; Chordata; Mammalia; Scandentia; Tupaiidae
Description: Y RNA (ENSTBEG00000018106.1)
Rfam family: Y RNA
About the family: Y RNAs are components of the Ro ribonucleoprotein particle (Ro RNP), in association with Ro60 and La proteins. The Y RNAs and Ro60 and La proteins are well conserved, but the function of the Ro RNP is not known.
Source: RNAcentral
AGCUCGUCUGAUGGGAGUGGGUUAUCAGAACUUAUUAACAUUAGUGUCACUAAAGUUGGUAUACCACCCCCCCACUGCUAAAUAUGACUGGAAAA